AGUCUUGUAUUCAAUUAUGAUUUUAGAUUGCAAAUCUAAAGGUAAAGUUAUACUUUUAAGGCUU
RNAcentral lists this transfer RNA (64 nucleotides) under Corydalus sp. 1 YLJ-2021a. Its description in RNAcentral is "tRNA-Cys". Lineage: Eukaryota; Metazoa; Arthropoda; Insecta; Megaloptera; Corydalidae. The record is from RNAcentral.